This 483-nucleotide ribosomal RNA is filed under the name uncultured bacterium. Its description in RNAcentral is "partial 16S ribosomal RNA". It matches the Rfam family "Bacterial small subunit ribosomal RNA", at positions 30 to 507 of the family's 1533-position model. The record is from RNAcentral.
UUGCACGCUGGCGGCAGGCCUCACACAUGCCAGUCGAGCGGAUGAAGGGAGCUUGCUCCUGGAUUCAGCGGCGGACGGGUGAGUAAUGCCUAGGAAUCUGCCUGGUAGUGGGGGAUAACGUCCGGAAACGGGCGCUAAUACCGCAUACGUCCUGAGGGAGAAAGUGGGGGAUCUUCGGACCUCACGCUAUCAGAUGAGCCUAGGUCGGAUUAGCUAGUUGGUGGGGUAAAGGCCUACCAAGGCGACGAUCCGUAACUGGUCUGAGAGGAUGAUCAGUCACACUGGAACUGAGACACGGUCCAGACUCCUACGGGAGGCAGCAGUGGGGAAUAUUGGACAAAGGGCGAAAGCCUGAUCCAGCCAUGCCGCGUGUGUGAAGAAGGUCUUCGGAUUGUAAAGCACUUUAAGUUGGGAGGUAGGGCAGUAAGUUAAUACCUUGCUGUUUUGACGUUACCAACAGAAUAAGCACCGGCUAACUUCGUG